This 71-nucleotide transfer RNA is filed under the name Halobacteriales archaeon QH_7_66_36. RNAcentral's name for it is "tRNA-Pro". It matches the Rfam family "tRNA". From Rfam's summary of the family: Transfer RNA (tRNA) molecules are approximately 80 nucleotides in length. RNAcentral also lists the same sequence under 2 other names. The record is from RNAcentral. Lineage: Archaea; Methanobacteriati; Methanobacteriota; Halobacteria; Halobacteriales.
GGGACCGUGGGGUAAUGGUAUCCUUCGGCGUUUGGGACGCCGUAAUCCCGGUUCGAUUCCGGGCGGUCCCA